GUAGGUGAACCUGCGGAAGGAUCAUUACUGAAGUGAUUUGGGGAUGUUGCUGGCCUCCUCUCAGAGGCAAUGUGCACUCCUUGAACAAUUCAAAAUUUCCAUCACACCCUUGUGCACAUCUUGUAGGCGUCCACUCACCUUCAUUGGUCUGGGCGUCCUAUGUAUUCCCUCAUCUCACACUUUUUGAAUGGUGCUCUCGAAUGCAUCUUAUGGAUUAUUUGUAAAAAAAGUAAUCACAGAAACAACUUUC
This 250-nucleotide unclassified non-coding RNA is filed under the name plant metagenome. RNAcentral's name for it is "partial contains small subunit ribosomal RNA, internal transcribed spacer 1, and 5.8S ribosomal RNA". The record is from RNAcentral.